This 512-nucleotide ribosomal RNA is filed under the name uncultured bacterium. RNAcentral describes it as "bacterial SSU rRNA". It matches the Rfam family "Bacterial small subunit ribosomal RNA", at positions 34 to 518 of the family's 1533-position model. The record is from RNAcentral.
CGCUGGCGGCGUGCCUAAUACAUGCAAGUCGAACGGUCUUUUCUAUGGAAGCUUGCUUCCACUGAGAAGAUAGUGGCGAACGGGUGAGUAACACGUGGGUAACCUGCCCAUAAGAGGGGGAUAACAUCCGGAAACGGGUGCUAAUACCGCAUAGUUUUCUUGAUUGCAUGAUUGAGAAAGGAAAGACGGCCUUUGUGCUGUCGCUUAUGGAUGGACCCGCGGCGUAUUAGUUAGUUGGUGAGGUAACGGCUCACCAAGACGAUGAUACGUAGCCGACCUGAGAGGGUGAUCGGCCACAUUGGGACUGAGACACGGCCCAAACUCCUACGGGAGGCAGCAGUAGGGAAUCUUCCGCAAUGGACGAAAGUCUGACGGAGCAACGCCGCGUGAGUGAAGAAAGGUUUUCGGAUCGUAAAACUCUGUUGUCAGAGAAGAACAAGUUGGAGAGUAACUGCUCCAGCCUUGACGGUAUCUGACCAGAAAGCCACGGCUAACUACGUGCCAGCAGCGGC